This 274-nucleotide ribosomal RNA is filed under the name uncultured bacterium. Its description in RNAcentral is "partial 16S ribosomal RNA". It matches the Rfam family "Bacterial small subunit ribosomal RNA", at positions 523 to 796 of the family's 1533-position model. The record is from RNAcentral.
AUACGGAGGGUGCAAGCGUUACUCGGAAUCACUGGGCGUAAAGCGCGCGUAGGCGGUCUAUUAAGUCAGAUGUGAAAUCCCAGGGCUCAACCUUGGAACUGCAUCUGAUACUGGUAGACUAGAGUUUUGGAGAGGGAAGUAGAAUUUCAGGUGUAGCGGUGAAAUGCAUAGAGAUCUGAAGGAAUACCAGUGGCGAAGGCGACUUCCUGGCCAAAAACUGACGCUGAGGUGCGAAAGCGUGGGUAGCAAACGGGAUUAGAUACCCUAGUAGUCC